Rhineura floridana is the source of this 651-nucleotide RNA transcript. It is a transcript of the gene named late cornified envelope-like proline-rich protein 1, with no coding region annotated. NCBI's taxonomy places the organism in Eukaryota, Metazoa, Chordata, Lepidosauria, Squamata, Rhineuridae. The record is from RefSeq and is a predicted model, not a curated record. The transcript has 2 exons.
AGACCAUAUAAAAGGUCUCAUACCCCAAGGAUCCAGACAGACACCUGCAACAUUUCCUAUCACAAGUGAUCCUGCUAACGUUUUGGAACUCUACACUCGACAGAUAUCAAGAUGUGCUCCCGCAACGACAGAGGAUGCCACAACGUUCCCCGGGACAACUCCUGCCACAGGGGUGGAAGUUCCUGCCAGGACCAGGGCUCUUGCACAAAGCCCGUUCCGGGUUGCCAACAGCAACCUCCCGUGGUGUGCCCCCCUCCCGUGGUGUGCCCCCCUCCCGUGGUGUGUCCUCCACCUCCAUGCAAGCAGGAGCCUCCUGUGUUGUGCCCACCUCCUGUGAUUUGCCCACCACCUUGCCAGCAGCAGCAGCAGGUCAAGCAACCCCCCCAGUGGCCACCCCAGCAGCAGAAGUAGAGAAGACACGACUCCUGAGGAAGAGGUGCUUGGCAGCUGAAGGGCAACAUGCUCAGUUCUGAGUCAUCUGUGGCUGAAAGAAAGGAAACGUGAACCUGCUGUGUGUCUUUCUCCCUGCAUAAAAAUAUAACAGAUAUCUUCUCUGGCUGGUGCUCAAAUCCCUAUGCCUUUUAUCCUGCUUGAUACAUAAUUUGUGAAAAUGUUACCAAUUUGUGGCUUUGGCCCUUGUAUGGGCAACAG